CAAGGCUUUCCCUAGUUUUCUAGUCCAUACUUCUGGCUCUCUUUUAGAAACCCAGAGCAGACUGGCAAGUGACCAAAUCCACAGCAGUUCCAGCUCUUUCUGAGGAUGUCCCAUAGGAUAGGCAUGAUGCCUGGCCUACAUAGUGGGUAUCAGAUGUUAACUGCCUUUGACUCCUUACCACUUGUUGAUGUCUCUGUGUCACACAGUUGCUCAAGCUCCUUGAAGAUCUCCAGGCUGGUGACAUUAUUCCCCUCGGCUUUAAUUCCCUCACUGUGCAGCGCUCGAGCGGCGAUUUCAGAGCUAGGGUUGGUUUUCCAGUUUUUAAAUGAGUACGCUUCAAACACAGAGCUCAGAACUAGAUCCUUUAUCGCGCCCACUUGUGUCUGCAGAGCUCUGCAGGGUGUGGGCAUGUAGUCAGGUUUCUUCACCUGUUCGGUCACGUGCGGAUCACACAGCUACGUUAUAGCGAUGCAGAUAAGCCCUGUUAACGCAAUAUAUACUCGAAAACCAAACCCUGCUUAAGGUGUCACAGAAAGAGACGCUGGUAUCUUUAAAAUGUCCUAUCAGAGGGAAUUUUCUGAUUAAGUAACUGAGGUCUUCAGGAAUUGGAUCCAGGGUGAAGUCCCCCUGUCAAAACUGGUUUUUGAAACACUGCUGAACCUGUAAAGCCGUAUAUGAAAGCGAAGUUUAUUACCGAGUUAUGUGGCGGAUACUCAGUGUGUCUGCUGUGAGGCAUUUGAUAUUCUAUGUAUACACAUGAGCAAACACAUAUGUAAAAGACUUCAAAUUGAAACCGUAGCUGAAGUUUACAACACCCUAAAAAUACCCCAUAUAAAAACUGUAGCAGAUCGCCCUCUUUCCUACUUCCUCAAUUCUAAAGGUUCCCUCUGUCCAGAUUCAUGGCUUACUUUGAUCCUUUCUUUCGUGGAGAACCUUUAGAGUUCAUUAGACCCACUAGGUACGGAGGGGUAGAGGCAGAGAUGGAAAGCUCACCAGAUCAUGUGGGGACUUCCAAACCAAGGAGGACACAUUUCUGGAUGUCUCCAAAUUGAGUAGACAACAAAAUUGUUUGGCUCUUUCUGUGGAUGUCGAAAAUUGUUUUUCCAGAAUUUCUCCAUCGUAAAUUUUGCAUGCUGUAUGCCAUAAUUUGGAAAGGCUAUUACCGUGAUAAUCUUUCCUUGUCCACCAAAAACGUAUAUUCUGCCUCUUAAGACGGCGAAUGGACUAGCUUUACUCGUUUCAUGAGAAAACAGCCUAUCACCUUCCUAACUACUACACUGUGGGUAAAGCGCAGUGGACUCAAAAACCAAAAAAUCUUGUUCCAAUCUUGGUUCUGCUACUUCCUGAGCUAUGUAACCUUGGACUAGUUGCCUGCUUCAGCUUCCUCCCAGAGGUUUCAAAAAACAGGCUUUAGGAUUCCUUGUUUCCCUCUAGGGCUCCUCUCUCUCAUUUCCCCUUUGGGUACUGAGUGGAGAACAUGAAUCAUCAUGCCCCUACUUAAGGAGAGGAAGUCACCCUUAGUGUUUUUUUUUUUUUUUGUAAGACAGAUGGAUGAGGUGAGACAGAGCUGCUUGUGAGGUACUGUUUUUCCCCCCGCUACUUCAUUAGAUAUUAUCAGGCUAUGAAUGCUAUUCUUUGCAGUAGGAAAUAUCAUGACCCCUCAAUCCCACCUUAUGGUGCAGAUCCUCAGGAGGAGAUGAUGGUGAGAGUCAGUACAGCAGUCAAGUUAUAAAGAGACUGAGAAGUUAGGAAGUACUUGCUCAGACCUCAAGUCGAGUAUAGCCAGUUAAACUGUCCUGGCGCUUAGCACAGGGCCAGAGUGUGCCAGAGCCUUCCCUUUGGAGAUGGACUCACUCUCCUGUUCCUUCUGUAAACCCCAGCUACUUCUCAAGGUCUUCUCUGACCCACCCAGAUGAAGUUAGCAACCUUCACCCCCAAGUAUUGUAAUCACCCCUGCGUAGCACAUACUAUGUUUCAUUGUAAUUUAUUUUAGUGUGGGUCUGCCACCCCCAAUAGACUUUGAGAUCCUCAGAGAUUGUUAAUCUUUGAUUAGCCAGCACUUACACAGCACCUCACAUAUAGUAGGAGCGAAACAAAUGCCUGAAUCCCCAUACCCACUAUUUCUUCAAACUGUAGGCUCAAGGAGAAAGGAAUGUGUUGCAAUCCACAGGGAGUCUGAAACCUCUCACCAGAGGAUCGCCAAUGGCUGCGUCUAAAUUCAGAGGCAGCGUCAGGGCCUACACGUCCUCCCUGCCAGUUCCCCAGAAUGCUUUAGCUGGACCUGCCACCCAAGAUGUCCAAAACCCAGAGGCAGAGAUAUCACACCAGAAGCAGGGUCCAGGGUCAUCCAUGAAUCAAAAUGCAGUACCAGUUUUCACUGAAGGCUCUUGGUCCCCUGUUCCCAUCAUCAUCAGAGAAAGAAGUGCUCAUCAAAUCAAAAAAUUUGCUUCUGGCAAGGGAAUUUCCUUAUUUUGAA
This is a long non-coding RNA of Balaenoptera musculus (blue whale), 2476 nucleotides long. RefSeq lists it as uncharacterized. The transcript is spliced from 4 exons. NCBI's taxonomy places the organism in Eukaryota, Metazoa, Chordata, Mammalia, Artiodactyla, Balaenopteridae. The record is from RefSeq and is a predicted model, not a curated record.